This 425-nucleotide ribosomal RNA is filed under the name uncultured bacterium. RNAcentral describes it as "partial 16S ribosomal RNA". It matches the Rfam family "Bacterial small subunit ribosomal RNA", at positions 354 to 796 of the family's 1533-position model. The record is from RNAcentral.
GUGGGGAAUCUUAGACAAUGGGGGAAACCCUGAUCUAGCCAUGCCGCGUGAGCGAUGAAGGCCUUAGGGUUGUAAAGCUCUUUCAGCUGGGAAGAUAAUGACGGUACCAGCAGAAGAAGCCCCGGCUAACUCCGUGCCAGCAGCCGCGGUAAUACGGAGGGGGCUAGCGUUGUUCGGAAUUACUGGGCGUAAAGCGCACGUAGGCGGAUCAGAAAGUCAGAGGUGAAAUCCCAGGGCUCAACCUUGGAACUGCCUUUGAAACUCCUGGUCUUGAGGUCGAGAGAGGUGAGUGGAAGUCCGAGUGUAGAGGUGAAAUUCGUAGAUAUUCGGAGGAACACCAGUGGCGAAGGCGGCUCACUGGCUCGAUACUGACGCUGAGGUGCGAAAGCGUGGGGAGCAAACAGGAUUAGAUACCCGUGUAGUCC